AUUCCAGCUCCAAUAGCGUAUAUUAAAGUUGUUGCAGUUAAAAAGCUCGUAGUUGGAUUUCUGGUGGAAGUGACCGGUCUGUCCCUAGUGGAUGUGAACUUGUGUCUACUUUUGCCAUCCUUGGGGAGAGCGUGCCUGGCAUUAGGUUGUCGGGUUCGGGAUCCCCAUCCUUUACUGUGAAAAAAUUAGAGUGUUUAAAGCAGGCUUAUGCCAUUGAAUACAUUAGCAUGGAAUAAUAAGAUAGGACUUUGGCGGUCUAUUUUGUUGGUUUGCACGCCGAAGUAAUGAUUAACAGGGACGGUUGGGGUUCUUUGUAUUCAAUUGUCAGAGGUGAAAUUCUUGGAUUUAUGGAAGACAAACUGCUGCGAAAGCGUCGAACAAGGACGUUCUCAUUA
RNAcentral lists this ribosomal RNA (395 nucleotides) under Sarcinochrysidaceae sp. RNAcentral's name for it is "partial small subunit ribosomal RNA". It matches the Rfam family "Eukaryotic small subunit ribosomal RNA", at positions 582 to 975 of the family's 1831-position model. Lineage: Eukaryota; Pelagophyceae; Sarcinochrysidales; Sarcinochrysidaceae. The record is from RNAcentral.